UUUUAGAUCUGAAGCUACAAUUUCCAUCUUUUUAAUUUCAAUCCUUCUGCUUCAAUGUUCAGGCUGACGAUCCUCCUGGCGGUCCUAAUAGCCAGUUAUUCCAGCAACUGCUCAAACUCUUUCUGUGAAGAAACCUAGACAGAUAACUCCGGGUUUCAGUAAAAAAAGCCACAAAUUGGGAAUUUUAGUAAUCUUAACCAACUUCUUGAUGUAUUUUUUAAUCUGAUUAUUGUGGUGUCAGAUCAAUCUUUGGUACACCUCCUACGAGCAAUGAACAAGAAUUAUCAGGUAACUUUCUUUUAAUGGUUAUUGUAGAUGGUUUAUUUAUCUUAAUUUUUCAUGUCUUAUAGAAUAUAGAAUUUCAGCAUUUUUUCUUCUGUUACAUACAUUCCAUGAGCAUUCAUGAAAAUGUUAGAUCGAUUAGUUGAACAAUUGAGAAACUUCUGAUAUAAAUUUCAGAAAUUUAACUCGUAAGGCAAAAAAGUAACAACAUACCCGAUGUAAUUUUGCGUGUGAGGUUUGUGGAGGAUAAAGUAUAAAUUGACCCAAACCAUAUCUCGUAGAGGUAGAGAAAUGUUUUCUAGUAUACCUUCAGCUUAAAUUAAAGAAACUUUUGAGACAAUAUAUUUAAAAAGAGAACUCCUAUGAAAAUUACUAUAAAUUAUAGAAGGACGUUGACAUGUAUACAUAUGUAGAGCCAUUACCGCGAUUUCUCCGUGGUUGCUAUAGAAGGAUGUUGACAUGUAUACAUAUGUCUGAGAAAAAAGAAUUUAUAGGGAUCUAUCGAGUCUAUCAAGUAAUUUGUCUCCUCUAAUUUAAUUUCGUUACACCAAAAGUUAAACUAAAUACAACUCGUCUUGAUCUUUUGUGAUGAAUCUACUAACCUUCAAAAGUACCAACAUUUCUUCCUGUGCAGAUUGACUAUAUACGAUCUUCCACCAUAAAUGAUUCAAGUGUCGAAAAGAUGCACUUUUUACAAAAAAAAUGCCUAUUCAACAAAGUGUGCAAGAAUAAUGGGGUAACUACAUUUAUAUAGGUAGGUUAGGAAUUCUUAGGCACAACUUUUAACCAUAGAGACUUCUUCAAAAUAUAUUGUUUCCCUAGGAACUCCAAAUAAAACGUUUCCUUCAAUCAGGGGAACUUCCAGAUAUAUUUGCAUGACAUGAAUUAAGGCACAAAAUAGCUUAAGAGUUUCCCAUCACUCAACAGUCUCUUCACUAUGUCUAUCAAGACUUUAAGACUACUUUUACUUGCUUAUUAGAGUGACCAUUAAACAAAGGACAAUUCAUUUUUCAAUUUAUUUGUCCAUUUAUUUGUUAUACAUACUUAUUAGGGAAAGGUUUAAAAUUACCCUUCAACUUUCAUUUAAUAGCUAUCUUUACCCUUCGUUAUACCAUUCCGUCAUUUAUACCCUCGUUGUUUACAAAUUUGUCAUUUGUACCCGUCAUUAUAGAAGUUUCCCUGAUGGAAAGAAAUAUUUUAUUAGUAAUCCCUAGGGAAACCAUAUUUUACAAAGAGGUCCCUAUGGUAAAAAAGGUUGCCUAUGAAUUUCGAGUCGUCGUAUAUAAAUGUCUAUGACCCCAUUAGUCUGGAACACUUCGUUUAAUAUGGAUUAUUUUCUACAAAGUUCCUUUUUUUGAUACUUGAUUCAGUUAUGGUGGCAACUCUUAUAUGUUCAAUUUGCACCGGAACAAAUGUUGGUACUUUUGAUAGUUAGUAAAUUCAUCACAAAAGAUAAAAAAGGAGUUGUAUUUAGUUUAACUUUUGGGGUAAAAAUAAAUUAGAGGACACAAAUUCCAUGAUAUAAUCGAUGAAUCUAAUUUUUGUUUUUUGUAUUACAAGUCACCUUAUAAAUAUCUAAUUAAAAAGGAUAAACUCUUUAUUUCUUACUCUACAAAAAGAAAAUGUCAGGAAGGGAUUUCUAUAAACAAAGAAGAAGGUGUGAUAUUGACACAUGUGUGGCUAAAAUAAUUUUUCAAUAUAACAAAUUUUGGUUGGUCACUAAUUUUUAAUAAUUUGAUCAAUGUAAUAUUACAGCCUAGAAGUGUAGCCGCACUUAAGACCUACUUUUAUUUAGAAAUUACAAUACACAUCAAGGAUCAUAACUGAACAAAUGAAGGUAUUAAAUAAAAGAAAAUUUGAUAAAUUAAUUAAUCGAUCAAAAAAAUUCGUUGUAAAAUAUAAUCAUAAGAAAACAUUCUUAUUAUUAUUUUUUUUAAAAAAAUCAUCUAUUAUUUCUUCUUUCUUGUUUUUUCUAUUUUUUUUGAACUAGGUAAACUACCCGCUCUUCAUGCGGUGGUGAACUACGUUAAUAAUCUACAUCUGAAUAUUUGAUAAUAUAAGUGUUUUCUAGAGGGUACAGCUCUAUGAUAAAUUUCUAUAAUUAUUUUAUCCAACAAAGAAAUUAAAUGUUUUUUAAUUUUAAAACGAAAAAGAUUUUAUUUAAGUGUUUAAGAAUAUUUGAAUAAUUCUUCAAUUUAUUGUAGUUGUUUAUCACCAAACUCAUUAGAAAAGAUAUUUAAGUGUUUUGUUUAUAUUUAUAUUUUCAAAAAGUGAUACAAACAUUUUAUUCAUCAGUUGCGAGAGUUGUUCUCCUGCUCAAGGACUCUACAAACAGAAUCUAAAUAUUAUAAAUCUUCUAUAAUCAGUUGUGUACUUGAUAAGUUAAUAAAAAUAUAAAACACAUCUCGUGGAGCACAAUGAAAUAACGUAUGUCGGUUAAAUAGUUUGGAUUAAAUGUUGUCUUGUAAAGUUCCUUAUUCAAAAUCAUACGCACUGGAUGAUACAAAUUUGAUAGACAAAAGACAUAUUUUGUUAUGUAUGUUUCGAUCAAUAUGGUUAAAACUUUAUUUUCUGAGGAACUUUAAUCUAAAGGUUAUAAGGAGAUAACUAUUUCCUUAAUAUUUAUUUAAUAUAGAUACAUCCUACUUUGAGGGUUAAUUCAUUGACUCAAACCCCACAUUUGAACCCCAAAAGUCUGAUUAAUGUUGAGUACAACACUUACCAACCCACUUCCUUUAUUUUUUGGAAGUCACUAAUCGAUUGAAUGUCUCGAUAACAAAGAAUGUUGGAUAAAAGUCCGAGGUAGGGCGGAACCACCAUAUUUUUUAACACUCAAAGUUCCUUCUUGUACAUCCAAUGAAUCUUUUAGCCGCUGAAAACUCUAGAAAGAUCAAAGUCAUUUAUUUUAGAAGUUUAUGAAUUUUAAUCUACGUGACACCAUUAGUCUAAUGAUUACAUCAAACUCUUGACUGACAUGCAUGUAUUUUCUUCAAUUUAAUGAUCAAAAGCAUAAACAUAAACAGCGAAGUUUAAAACAUGUAAUCAAAAUAAAAAUUAAUAAAAUAAGCAUAAAUUAAUGACUGUAAAAAACAUACUGGAUGUGUAAUAAUAAAAUGAAACAUAAAGGAAAAAAUUAAGGCCACUAAAUGCACAUUAUUCCCUUAAGGAAAUUAUUUCUUUCUAGUAACCGAGGUUUAAAGGGAAUAGAUCCUCUUAGUAAAGAACGAUUCAAUUUACCAGUGUUUUGAUACAAAAAUAAUGGUAUCAGUAAGUCACUAAAAGGAGUAAAGUACGCGAAUAUUGAAUUGUGUAGAAGAAGAAGAAGUUCAGAAUUUUCGUUGUUUUUAAAAUGACAAAAAUUCACUCUAUUUAUAUAAAAAAAAGUGGUAGUGUGAGUAAACACUUAUUGUAUCUUAUCAGAAAGGUCACAACUCUUUGGAAAAGCCAAAAUCUUUCAUAAAAGUCAAAAUCUUUCAUAAAAGUUUCAACUGUUCAUGAAAGUCGCAACUCUGCAUUAAAGUUGCAACUCUUCAGAAAAGUCGCAACUCUUUAUAAAAAUCAUAACUUUUCAUAAAAAGCUAUUGCAAUAUUUCAUAAAAUUCACAACUUUUAAUAAAAGAGGAGGUUGAUUUUGGAAAUAAAUAAGUUAAAAGUGAAUCAUGAUUUGUGUUGGUACCAAAUAGGCGGGCUUAUAUCAAAUAUACAAAAAGACAAAAAGUACUUAACAAAAAAACAUAAUUAUACAUAAUAUCAAGACAUAAUUAAUUUAGACAAAGAUUAACAUAAAUGAUUAAUCAAACAUAAAGAACAUACUUCAUUAUUUGUAAGCUAAUAAAAUUACAUUGCAAAUUGAAUAGGGAAAUCCCUAAAAGUGGUGAUGGGAAGCAAUAAUGAAAGUCAAUGCCAGUUGAAGUUACACUAAAAUAAAGAUUAAAUUGUUUUUUUAAAACUUAGUCUUCCCAUUUUUUCUUCUACUUUUUUGCAAAGGAUCUUCUAUUUUCUUCGCUUGUUUCUUUUUUUUAGGAAAAUGAACAAAGAGGAGGGUGUUAAAUAGGUUGAGAAUAUUAAACACCACAUGUGCUUGAAACUUAACAAUCAACGCAUGAACGAAACUUUUUGUCUUCAUCAAGUACAAUCUAAAAUGACUUACAAUUGUUUUCCCUUUUUCCAAUUUCAAUAAAAGAUAAUUGAAAAGGACUUCAUUUCUCAUUGGAAGGUCUCAUUUUGUUUUAUUCGUUAAUUGCAUAAAUGUUUAAGACCAUUUGAAAAACUAAAAAUAGCUCCAAUAUGUAGAAAACAUUAGAUUUUAGUCAUCAAGACCUAGAAUUCAAAAGUAAAUCAGGACACUAACACAAAAAUUAGACAUUUAAUCUACCUUUAAGAUCAAAUGCUACUAAUUAAAAAUAACAAAAACAGUAAUAUUCGAUCAAAAUUAGGAAACAAAAUUAAUAAUGAUAUUAAUAGGAAAUAUAUAAUGUGGCAAUAAAAUGACUUGUAUGGUUAAAAUGUAAUGAUAGUGACAAAUUUUGAUAGAGGUUGAGAGGGUGAAAGAUUGGUAUAAAUUAUUUUUAGGAGGGAAUGAAGGUUGCUUAAAAAUUCGUCGAAAACUUUUUCGACGGAGUUUUGGCAUAAAACUUUUAUCAAAGAAUCUUUUGAAGAGCUCUACACAUUUACGUAAAAGGUAUAGGAUAGAGAUACUGAAACUCCAUAAAUCUAAACAGAAAGUGAUGAUUAGUGUUCGAUUUUUCUUAAAUCUAUGAAGUUUGGUAAUGAACCAGAGUAAAUGGUUUGUAGAUUUUUGUAGAGGAGAGUAAAAGGAAAAUGUGAUGAAAUAUUGGAGUAAUUUGCCACCGAUAAUGGCGGUGACGUUCAGCGACGGCGGUAGUGGUUGGUUGAUGAGUCCACAAAUUGGACUCAUUUUGACACGACCCAAACUGUCGUGAUUGACACCCACACUAAACAUUCGCUGGGAGAACCACUACUACAAUCCAAACUAAGCAACUAAACCAAAACUAAGACAACAAAGUUACGAAAAUAAGUUAAUUACUAACUAAUGCGGAAUUAAAUACCUUGAACCUAAAAUUCAAUGUAUCAAAACUCUACUAAAGAAAACUCUAAGAACAAGGGCUACAACGCCAAAACUAUCAACAGCUCAAAGUAAUCAUCACAAGUAGAUACACAACACAAUUUAAUAGUCCUAUCACCGAACCUAAUUCAAUUGUCCUCUCGAUGAACCCAAUGCAAUGGUCCUCUCAUGGAACAUAAACUAAAAUUGUUAGUACACCGGCAUGGUACCUAACCCCAGUUAGCUUAUAUGAAAAUGGAAAUACGAUCCCAUAGUUGUGCCUGAACAUGACAACUGAUCCAAUGUUUAUGCCAAAAUGUGGCAAUCCAAUCCAAGUAUGCUUGCCGGAUCGUGGUCCGAUCCCAUCAACAAACCACGAUCACAUACACAAAUACAUGAUUAAGAUCAUACAACAAGAGGUGAUUCAUGAAAAAUAAUUAUUCAAUUUUCCUCAUUUAUGAUUAAGGAGAUCAAUAAUGCAACAUUCCCAUGUAUACGUGCAUUAUAAAUAAGCAAUUAAAAACAUAUAUCACCCAAACAUGAAAUCACAAUCAUCACCUACCUCGAAUCCAAGCUUGAAUCCCCUAAGGCCCUUGAAUCAUUACUUUUCGGAUUGUUUUCGCUUUUUCUAGUUCUACAACAAUUAAUAUUCGCAAAGAUCAACAAUCAAACGUCUAAUUAUUAAGAUUAUAACAAACCCAAUAACCUCUAGAUAAAACCCAAGAUCCUAAUACCCAAAUUAGGGAUUUUUCUGUCAUAAUUCUUUGAUUAAAACUCUUCCCCAUCGAUAAUAACCCAAGCAAUAAGGUUCUACAGAUCAAAAAGUGGAUUCAGGGAGUUAAAUUCUUACCUUUAGCCUAAAAAAUGGUGAGAACUGCUAAGAAGUCGUCUAGGGUCGCUUUCUUAGCCCUAACGAUAAAAAAAUAUGGUCAUUUUAGUGUUUAUAGGUGAUUAUAAAUGGCAUCUAUACCGCUCCAGAGGACCCAUCUCGAUGCAGCGGCUCCGCAUCAGUGGCAUGAAUCCCGCUACAGUAGCCUUAGCUGGUACAGAAUGUACCCAUUCAUGAAAAGAUUAUUUUCGUUAGUUCUACUCGUCCAAAUUCGAUUCCGUAAAGUGCUACGGGUUGCUUAUCAUCUUAUAUAUCAACUAAUGUAAUAAAAUUCCAAUUAUAUCUUUCAUUCAUUGACAUAUUUUUCUACACGUUAAUGACUCUAAUUUCAUCCGAAUCUCGGGUAACCUAGGAAUUUCAAGUUACUUCCAAAAAAAAUUCUGGACUCAAUUCUUUCUUCAUUGACUUUUCCAGACGAUAGAAUUAUAUCAAUACAUAGUUAGAAUUUUGACAUAAUUAGUGUCCUCAAAUGGUUAUUUUUUCUCAAUAACUUAUGAGUAACCUUAAGUUUCAGGUAUUUUGAGUUUGAGGCAAAGCAUGGUCACUAUUUGGAAAAAAGGAACACAAAGGUUGCAAAGAACUAAGAAAUGAAGUCCUGAAGAUCUUUGAGUCCACACAACAAGUCUCCAUCAGGCAUGAAGAUCGCCUUUUGUUCCAGUGUGAUAACCCUAGAAGUAAGGGAUCAAAACGAAUUGAAAAGAAGUAAUGAGUAGUUCUAAGUCACCUAAUGAUCUAAAACACCACGAUGCUGAAGCAUAGAGCUUGCCAGCAAUAAAACCUACCAAAGGGCAAAUUGUCAAGUUGAUCAGUGAUAUGGACUAACUACGCUGAGUGAUCCGCU
This 7077-nucleotide long non-coding RNA is filed under the name Solanum lycopersicum (tomato). RNAcentral describes it as "long non-coding RNA (SLYC_LNC001045)". Lineage: Eukaryota; Viridiplantae; Streptophyta; Magnoliopsida; Solanales; Solanaceae. The record is from RNAcentral.